UGUGUGUGUGUGUGUGGCAAUACAAGUCAGUUUCAGGCAGUAUUUAUAGUUAUGGGCCGAUGCGAGCAAACGACACAAACCCGUACACACAAUCUUAACAAUACAUUAAACUAUCCUCACACAUUGCACACACUCUCCGGCUCUCACACACAUAAAUAUACACACACACACACACACACACACACACACAACAGGACCUAUUGGAACUGACUGGAAGCUAUUAAUUGUUGUGGUGUAGUGCUAAUCAAUAAUGUCCGCAUUGGACGCGUAGAUCUUUGGCAAGGAGUUGCACACUGUGUGUUCGUUUGUGCGCAUGUGUCGUUAUGGUUGUAGAUCGAUGACAAGAGGCCGUGUACAUCCGUGUGUUUGAGGGAUCUUGUGAUCAUUUAUUUAGUGGGUGAUAAAUAUGCAUCGCAUAACUCAUUUGGCUUUUUAAUUACAGUUGCAACUAACACAUUAUUUUGAUUAUGGUCUAACAGGCCGAUUAAUUCACACAUCCGUUGUUCUCACAUUGUAUUUAUCGCAAUUUUCAAAAGCCAACGGCGACGAUUGAGUAGAAUCUGUGUUAAACUAAAAUUAGUUAGUCAAAAAAUAAAGUUGUGCAUUAUUUGUGUGUUGUGUACAUACUGAGAAAGUUGGAACAAAUGAUUAACAGCAUAAUUUUGUUGUUUGUGUGUGUGAUUGUUUUGUUUUGUUUUGUUUGUGUGCAUUGUUGUAGCUGAUACAGGUGUGUGUGCUUGUUUUCAUGUCUAUGUCCCUGCAUUGUUCAGUUAUGAAAUAUUAAGCUACAAAACAUUAAAGGUUUUGUUCUAUUCGCCUACGUGGUUUGCAUUGAACGUUUGAGCAAUAGCAGAUAAGACUAAUAUUUGUGCACAUUUUACUUUCAGAAUUAUCGGCACGAAGCUUCCACUCAUGCAGCUUGACUACUUGGGGGCAUAACAGUAGAAUAAGCUUCAAUUCCAAAAUCACCAUUAGCAACAACCAAUAGGCCAUUGCUCCGUGCCCUGGAAAUCUUCUUCUGACCCUUAAAUAGUCCCUGUUGGGAUGAGCUAGGAAUACAAAUUAAAAAAAAACACACCGAACAAGCAAAGAGACGGAGGGUUCUUUCACCUCUGAGAGUUAUUUGUCUCGGGGAAAAAAACGGACCCUUUCAAUCGUUUUUACCAUUUGCUGAAGCAUUUCACCAAAUAAGACGAACAACGGUAAUGAAUAGCGCCAUUCUUCCCCGAUGCAGAGGCAGGUAAAUAAAAUAUACGGUAAUGCAAUGCCUUACAAGACGCCCUCGGGUCGGGAAAGUGGGCCGGCAGCCAGAGCGUUGCCGCUCCCGGGCCGAUGGAGGGGAGGGAAUGAGAAAUGCUCCACAAUCAUUCAAUGGGUGUAUUCAAAGGUUCCCAUCGGGUGGGUAGUGUUGCCAUGGAGCAGUAUUUACUCUUUCUUUGUCAUCACACAAGCAGACUAUUCUAAAGAUAUAUUUCAGAAGAGGGAGGUCCCUUCUCUCCCAUCAAUGCGCGCGGUUGACUUUGAAAACCCUUUUCACCGCUGUUUAUGGCUCCGUUACGUCAAACAACACAACAACAAAGUGCUUCAACACAACAACACAGGGCGUGAAUAGUUUUGCCAAAACUACUUGAGGUGACCUCAUAUUACUCAACACAAUUGUGAAAAUACUUUUACAGUAUUUUACAAUAAAAAAAUUGUAAUGUGUAGUACAAUUUAUUUGUAAUAAGUUGCAGAUGUCUCAGAAAGCUCAGAAAAGAUGUUCUGAUCCAAAAUCUUUCAUGCCAAUGUUGUGUUAGUUUCCAAACGAAAUAUUUUGACUGCACAAACGUUUUAAUUGCUCAUUGCAACCAAAUGAAAGCCACCUCUUCACAGGCAUGUUGGUGGGACUUGAUCAUUUCCAUAACCAAUGUGCCAAGUUUCUAUGAUGAGCCACCGGUUUUGCUCUGUUAAGUAAAAACAAACAAUUUCACACAGCAUUGGUUCAAAUCCCACUGUUAGUCACUGGGUAGUGCAAACCGACAGGAUUCGCAAUAAAUGCAUGUUGAUAAAAACCAUUAUAAGCCGAAACCAAUCUUCGAGAGGCAAAGUGGACCGUGAUGGGGGGUCUCCAGUGUGGACUGAGUGAUUCAAUGGGCCGUGUUCCCUUUGAAGACACACACGCAAUAAUAAAAGAGAUUCAUGCUCAAAGGGAAAACUGUUUUGUGUUACCACAAGUCAGAGAAAUAAUGUUUCGGGCCGCAUGUUGUCAACGGCGUCGGGCUGUAAAUGAAAUGCUAAAUGGAAGAGGUGGAGUUGGGUUUUCUGGUGGAAUGUGGGUGACAUGAGUAAUAUUUCCAAAUCUGUCUCGCCUCCACAACAGGGAUAAUAAAUUCAAUAUUCCAGCCAGACACACGCGACUGCCAUUAUUCCCUAUAUACCCGCUUGUGUGUGUGUGUGUGUGUUAGUACAUACAGUAUGUGUGUAUUUUUCACUCACUGCUGUCUCUGAUUGGAGGGCUCUCGCUGUAUUUGAACCACAUGUGUUACAUACCUGCUGUUUAAGCUUUGCAUGGAUAAGAUGGGUGUGUCUGUGCGUGAGCGCACAACCCUGCUCCUGCUAUUGAGUGUUAUAGCAAUAAAAUCAUCACACUACCUCAAUGUUUCUGACAUUCCACCAGAACCUCUUUUCAAAGAGAGGAGGCGAGAAAACAUCCUGAGUGAAACAUUCUCCUGUGAUUAAGGGUCCCAAGUCACAGAGAUUUAUUCUGGAUGUGAUGGCAGGUUUAUUUUUCUACUAAUUUCCAAGCAUCAGACGGUGUGAAUCAGACGAUACUCAAGCAACUUGCUUCCAGCUGGGUCGAGAGGUUGGAAAUUCAAGAGUAUAUUCUUGUGUUUAAAGACGAUUUGUUGUGGCUGAACCUCAGAAUUUGAUUGUGGAUGAUAUGAGGAGAACCUCUGAUUUCAUUUCAGCUUGGGCGGAUGCUUUUUGUAAAUUCAAAAUAAACAAUGUGAGAAAGUGUGCAUAGGGAGGCGAAAAAGAUUCUGGCAUAAAAUACUUUAAAUGAUUUGACAAACAGCUAAAGCAACAAAUCUGUGACAAGCUGAUGUGUUAUUUGGGCAUCAGUGGUGGGAAAUGUGUGUAUUGACUAGUGCGCUGUAGCAAAGCGUUGUGCACUUGUGCUGCGAUACGGCCGAGUGCAGACUGCGAUAUUCUCACUGCCGAUGCUGUGACUGGUUGAAAUGAUCCUGAUGCCAAUUAUUGUAAUGCAGCGAAGAGUUUAACAACUGCUGGAAUGGGAUGUGAACGCCGAGUCGGAGAUGCGAUGUCAUCGUAGAUUUCUUCCAGUAGCUGUAAUAUUAUGUGGUGAAUACAUAAUUAGGUGCACUUUAAAAACAAAGAUACAAAUACAAUACAAAUUCAAUCAAUUACAAGAAAAAACGAUUCUCAUUAUACCAGGCAGUGUAGAAAAACAAAACGUGUAUGAAUAUAGUGAGAUCUUAGCUAUAGAUAUCAUGGAAAAUAAAAAUUAAGAAUUAAGCUUAUUACUUGACCCUUCUUCUCUCUUUCUCCAGAUCAAAUGUAUUGCGAGGUGGACUCGUGGUGCUGAAAUUUCUAUUUAUUCCCACAACUCUGCAGUAUUCAUAACAUCCCGCCUACGGCCCCGUCUUAUAAUGAGAGGUUUGGGAGCACUUUCCAUCCUUGACGUUAUUACUGAGGUUUAGUUUCUGUGUCAUUCCUUCGUUCAGAUCGAGGACGAUUACUUAAGACUUUCUUAUUGACGAUCAAUAAGAAGAAAAGUGCAAUGAAUAUGAAUUUGUCCUUCCAUGGUUGCAUGGAUAGCCCAUAACGCAUUGCAACUUCAAAACAAGUUGCAUUUUACUGCGGACAGUUUUGCUUGAUAUGAACCAACCUCACUCUCCUCCUGCCUUCACUGAUUUGUUAAAGUCAAUCUGGGGAAUGCAGGAAAACAUUAACUGCAGUAGGAGACACUGUGUAAAACAAACAAAGUAAAUUACAACACUUAAUCACGAAAUAACUGCUGGAUGCACUGAGCACUGCGGAUUGAUGGGAUCUGAGAGAGAGCCGGGUACCCAAGGGUGGAAUUUUCCUUGAAUUGUAUAGUGGACAUCCACUGACUCACAGCGCCGACGUGGUGACAGUGGGUAACACAAGGGGGCUGCUGUCCCGGCUGUGUGUGUGUGUGUGUGUGUGUGUGUGUGUGUGUGUGUGUGUGUGUGUGUGUGUGUGUGUGUGUGUGUGUGUGUGUGUGUGUGUGUGUGUGUGUGUGUGUGUGUGUGUGUGGGCAGUGGGAGCGCCCGCUGGAAAACUAACUGCAUCUCCUGAAAAAAUCUACAAGCUGUGACAGUCGCAGCAGAAGAUUUGCGGUGGCAAUAUUAACCACCCCGCAUGCGAGACACAAACGCCACCGAGAUGAAUCAUUUCCAUUUUGCGUCACAGAUCUUUCACGUGAACUAGCGAGAAAGUUCGGAAAGUUCCCACCGUGUGUAUAAUCCAU
This is a long non-coding RNA of Gasterosteus aculeatus aculeatus (three-spined stickleback), 4495 nucleotides long. NCBI's taxonomy places the organism in Eukaryota, Metazoa, Chordata, Actinopteri, Perciformes, Gasterosteidae. The record is from Ensembl.